Molecule: long non-coding RNA, 317 nt
Filed under: Gossypium barbadense (sea-island cotton)
Lineage: Eukaryota; Viridiplantae; Streptophyta; Magnoliopsida; Malvales; Malvaceae
Description: long non-coding RNA (GBAR_LNC007048)
Source: RNAcentral
UCUAGGGUUCGAGGCUUGGUAAUGCAAGAUGAGCUUUUUAUUUUGCUAGUAACGCUGGGGAGGUGUUGUUGUUUGACUGAAAUUGAAUGCUUGUAUAGUGGACCAAGUUGUGGCUGAAUUCUAGGUGUGUGUUGGAGAGAAUUUCGGCUGGUUGGGAUAUGGUUAGGUGGGAUGUGUGUGAGAAAUCUUAGGAGUGAUAUGGGGAGAAAAUUUAGGAGAUUUUGAAGGGAUUUAGAUAGUGUUCGGUUGGAGUUAGUGGGGGAGCCGAAUGUGGAGAGAGUUAGGGAGUGGCAUUUGUAGGAAAAAGAGCAUUUUUG